RNAcentral lists this ribosomal RNA (253 nucleotides) under uncultured bacterium. Its description in RNAcentral is "partial 16S ribosomal RNA". It matches the Rfam family "Bacterial small subunit ribosomal RNA", at positions 524 to 776 of the family's 1533-position model. The record is from RNAcentral.
UACGGAGGAUGCAAGCGUUAUCCGGAAUUAUUGGGCGUAAAGCGUCCGUAGGUGGUUGUUCAAGUCUGCUGUUAAAGCGUGCGGCUUAACCGCAUACCAGCAGUGGAAACUGGGCGACCAGAGUGCGGUAGGGGUCAGGGGAAUUCCCAGUGUAGCGGUGAAAUGCGUAGAUAUUGGGAAGAACACCGGUGGCGAAAGCGCCUGACUGGACCUGCACUGACACUGAGGGACGAAAGCUAGGGGAGCGAAAGGG